Molecule: unclassified non-coding RNA, 232 nt
Filed under: uncultured fungus
Lineage: Eukaryota; Fungi
Description: sequence contains ITS1, 5.8S rRNA gene
Rfam family: 5.8S ribosomal RNA (bases 184-232)
Source: RNAcentral
UCUCCGUAGGUGAACCUGCGGAGGGAUCAUUACUGAGUGAGGGCCUUCGGGCUCGACCUCCAACCCUUUGUGAACACAACUUGUUGCUUCGGGGGCGACCCUGCCGACGACUUCGUCGCCGGGCGCCCCCGGAGGUCUUCUAAACACUGCAUCUUUGCGUCGGAGUUUAAACAAAUUAAACAAAACUUUCAACAACGGAUCUCUUGGUUCUGGCAUCGAUGAAGAACGCAGC